Molecule: ribosomal RNA, 429 nt
Filed under: Bacteroidota bacterium
Lineage: Bacteria; Pseudomonadati; Bacteroidota
Description: Bacteroidetes bacterium partial 16S ribosomal RNA
Rfam family: Bacterial small subunit ribosomal RNA
Source: RNAcentral
UAGGGAAUCUUCCGCAAUGGACGCAAGUCUGACGGAGCAACGCCGCGUGAGUGAAGAAGGUUUUCGGAUCGUAAAGCUCUGUUGUUAAGGAAGAACGAGUGUGAGAAUGGAAAGUUCAUGCUGUGACGGUACUUAACCAGAAAGGGACGGCUAACUACGUGCCAGCAGCCGCGGUAAUACGUAGGUCCCGAGCGUUGUCCGGAUUUAUUGGACGUAAAGCGAGCGCAGGCGGUUAGAAAAGUCUGAAGUGAAAGGCAGUGGCUCAACCAUUGUAGGCUUUGGAAACUGUUUAACUUGAGUGCAGAAGGGGAGAGUGGAAUUCCAUGUGUAGCGGUGAAAUGCGUAGAUAUAUGGAGGAACACCGGUGGCGAAAGCGGCUCUCUGGUCUGUAACUGACGCUGAGGCUCGAAAGCGUGGGGAGCGAACAGG